UUUAAAUCAGGAUUUUCACAUAUCUUACUUUUUAAAGAAUUAUCCCUCUCUCUUCCUAGAACUUACCUGGAUCUGAUGGGACCUGAAAAAUAACUUUCUUUGUACCUCCUUCUUUUCCUUAAUAUGCUAAGAGGCAUCUGGGUAGAAAAUGCGCUUGAAGAAUAUCUAAAAUUUGCCACUUGCUAAACUGUAUAAAAUUUGGGACCCUCUUGACAGACACACGUUCGUGAAUAUAAAGAACUGGAAAGGGAUGUGCACCUCUGCAUUUGUUUUUUUCUUUCUUCAUGGCUUAGCUGUAAGAAUGAUUCACCUCUAUGCUUUCCUCCCUCUGAUGUCCUCCAGACUUCUUCAGAAGUCGAUGACCAGAGAGAAGGUGGUGAGGAUAUACAGUAUCACAACAGGAAAGUUUCUGGAGAUCAUCUAAUAAGUAAGUGCCUAGAUUCUAAUCUAAGCCUCUAAUUUUCCAUCUGGGGACACUGAGGUUCAGUGAA
Molecule: long non-coding RNA, 491 nt
Filed under: Aotus nancymaae (Ma's night monkey)
Lineage: Eukaryota; Metazoa; Chordata; Mammalia; Primates; Aotidae
Description: lncRNA (ENSANAG00000039391.1)
Source: RNAcentral